Molecule: unclassified non-coding RNA, 402 nt
Filed under: soil metagenome
Description: partial contains 5.8S ribosomal RNA, internal transcribed spacer 2, and large subunit ribosomal RNA
Rfam family: 5.8S ribosomal RNA (bases 1-121)
Source: RNAcentral
GAUGAAGAACGCAGCGAAAUGCGAUAAGUAAUGUGAAUUGCAGAAUUCAGUGAAUCAUCGAAUCUUUGAACGCACCUUGCGCCCUUUGGCUAUUCCGAAGGGCAUGCCUGUUUGAGUAUCGUGAACACCUCAACUCUCAUGGUUUGCCAUGAUGAGCUUGGACUUUGGGGGUUUUGCUGGCCUUUGGUCGGCUCCUCUCAAACGGAUCAGCUUUCCAGUGUUUGGUGGCGUCACGGGUGUGAUAACUAUCUACGCCUGUGGUUUUCUGCCAGAUAACCUUCAGCGAUGGAGGUUCGCUGGGGCUCAUAAAUGUCUCUCUUCAGUGGAGACAGCUUUUUGGACGUUUGACCUCAAAUCAGGUAGGACUACCCGCUGAACUUACGCAUAUCAAUAAGCGGAGGA